Molecule: ribosomal RNA, 427 nt
Filed under: uncultured bacterium
Lineage: Bacteria
Description: partial 16S ribosomal RNA
Rfam family: Bacterial small subunit ribosomal RNA
Source: RNAcentral
UGGGGAAUAUUGCACAAUGGGCGCAAGCCUGAUGCAGCCAUGCCGCGUGUAUGAAGAAGGCCUUCGGGUUGUAAAGUACUUUCAGCGGGGAGGAAGGCGAUAAGGUUAAUAACCUUGUCGAUUGACGUUACCCGCAGAAGAAGCACCGGCUAACUCCGUGCCAGCAGCCGCGGUAAUACGGAGGGUGCAAGCGUUAAUCGGAAUUACUGGGCGUAAAGCGCACGCAGGCGGUCUGUCAAGUCGGAUGUGAAAUCCCCGGGCUCAACCUGGGAACUGCAUUCGAAACUGGCAGGCUAGAGUCUUGUAGAGGGGGGUAGAAUUCCAGGUGUAGCGGUGAAAUGCGUAGAGAUCUGGAGGAAUACCGGUGGCGAAGGCUGCACCCUGGACAAAGACUGACGCUCAGGUGCGAAAGCGUGGGGAGCAAACA